RNAcentral lists this ribosomal RNA (118 nucleotides) under Carlito syrichta (Philippine tarsier). Lineage: Eukaryota; Metazoa; Chordata; Mammalia; Primates; Tarsiidae. The record is from RNAcentral.
AGAGUGGCCCAAACCAUAACACCCUGAAUGAGCCCAAUCUCAGAAGCUAAGAAGGAGUUGGGCCUGGUUGGUACUUGGAUGGGUGACCGCUUGAGAAUACAAAGGGCUGUAGGCUUUU